This 2058-nucleotide long non-coding RNA is filed under the name Lepisosteus oculatus (spotted gar). RNAcentral's name for it is "lncRNA (ENSLOCG00000021360.1)". The record is from RNAcentral. Lineage: Eukaryota; Metazoa; Chordata; Actinopteri; Semionotiformes; Lepisosteidae.
CUGAGUUGAAGCAAAUGUUUGUUGAAUUAAGUGGUGAUUUCCUGCUUGUCUUUAAGAAGAAGGAGAAAAGGGAAAGAAAAGUUUUUAUUGGUGGAGUUUGGGUGUUCUGUGAUUAUUCUGUAGCAGUAGUGGGAAACACAAAUGUUGAGUGUGCCAGGUACCUGGUACAGAUCUGGGUACUGGGUACAGACUGCGCCAGGGCCGUGCACAUGCUCACUGUGGUGGAAUGUAGCUGUCAGAGGCGAUGGGCUAGAGAUGAGAGUUCUUUAGAAGGAAGAGAAACGGUCUGGAUGUGAAUCAGCCAGUGAUGACAAAGCCUCCAGUCACUCUUUACUCAACAUGUGGUCGCCCAGGCAAAACUGGGUAGGAAACUGCUGGAGUUCACCAUUCGCACUGAAGAGGACAGAGACAAUGAGGGGUGACCUGUCCGUCACAAAAUGCCCUGCGGCCAUUUGUCUAGCACUCUCAGUGUUACAUGUUGUAGUGGACCUUGACCGCUGUGGGCACUGUGCCUGUCUGUAGACAUAAGAAAACUGUUGAGCACAUGGUAAGCCUUUUAAUCCACGUCGUAGAUCAUCAGCUCAGAAAUGUAUUUAGAUAUUGCAAUUUCACAUGUUAAACUGCCACCUAAAAUAAGAUAAAAUGUAUUCGUAUUUCUCUGAUGUGACUUGAAGAGGGAGUUGGUUGAUGUUUGAAUCAUUAUUAUCCUCGUUAAUCAUUUAUUGCCAUACAGUGCUAAAUUUGGAGCAUUUUUAGAAAUGUAUUAUGUUCAAUACGGUUACUUUUGUAUUAUUCUAAAAAAAACAGAACUGAUUUUUUACAUAAUAAAUGAAUGACUUGUCUCGACUAUGAUGUAAUGGCAUGAAACUUAUCCCAGUUUAAUAUCUGCCAAGAGAAACAUAAUAACAAGGUGAGGAAGCUCCUUCGGUGCCCAGCGACAACCACUUUCAGAAACAGGGAGUGAAGGGGUUUCAGCUGAACAGCGCAUAAUCACGCGAAGAAUAAAUACUUUUACUGGAAUUAUUCUGUAAAUAAAGCACCCAAAUUAAGAUUCAGUUGUUCCACGUACUUUUGCAUUACAGCUGUACAGAAAACAAAUAAACAAAUAAUUUAAUUAUAUAUGUCUUUUGUGUUUUAGUCUAUUAUAUCUUGAGCAUUUAAUACAUUUAGUUCUUUGGUUGUUAGCACAUACCGUCACAUUUAGAAUUUGAAAAGAAAAUAUGGUUACACCACUAUCACAUUUCACUGAAAUGUUUGUUUCUCUUUGUUUGUUUUUUUCUUCACAAACAGGCCUUCAUCAAGUUACUCGUGGAGGCAUGAGAAGUGAAUGAAGUAAAGAGAAUUAAAAAUUAAACAUGAUUCUUGGUUAAUUUGUAGAAGACGUAUAACAUAAUAUAUUUUAAUGGAGAAAUAAGUGCAGAAAUGUUACUAAUUUUAAAACACAUUUUAAAUGUUACUUGAACAAACAGGAACGCUGCUAUAACAGUUAGGGAAUUGGAUAUGUAUUAUUUUUUAGGUUUUUAUUUUUGUUGUCUUCUGAAAGGAGCUGAAAAAGGUGUGUUCAAAUUAAAAGGUUUAACAAAUUGCAAUGUUUUCUUACAUUGGCUUAAAAACCUGAAAACAAGGAAUAUUUUAAUGUAAAGGGUAUUCAGUCCUCAUUAAUCUUUCUGCUUUAUUUUUUACUUUAGGCAAAUAUCGCACUGAAUUUGGUUCUUUGUUCUACAAAUAAUACAUAAAGAUAGCUACUGUUAGCUCAUUCUGCACAGAUUUAAAAGAGUAAAUAAACAAGAUUUAAAAGCAUUUUAUUACUCUUAUUGCUCUUGGUACAAUUACACUGGAUGCAUUUUUUCAUGUUCAAUCUGAUGCAUUCUGUACCUACCCUGCUCAACCAGUGUAGAGGUGUAUUACUGACAACAGGCUGUUUCCUUUUUUCUUGUUUAAGGAUUUAGCACGGUCUAAUUACUUGCAACAUCUCCUGUCUUUACACACUGGCAAGAAAGAAUUAUCCCGACAUUUACAAAAAUAUUCUAAUAUGCUUUUACCAAAUCUAUUCAAAAU